Regulatory RNA element from Candidatus Midichloria mitochondrii IricVA, 109 nucleotides. It matches the Rfam family "Alpha operon ribosome binding site". From Rfam's summary of the family: The bacterial alpha operon ribosome binding site is surrounded by this complex pseudoknotted structure. Translation of the mRNA produces 4 ribosomal protein products, one of which (S4) acts as a translational repressor by binding to the nested pseudoknot region. Lineage: Bacteria; Pseudomonadati; Pseudomonadota; Alphaproteobacteria; Rickettsiales; Candidatus Midichloriaceae. The record is from Rfam.
UUAUUGAGGAUUUUAGUUAGAAUCUUACUCCGCUUUGUCAAGUUUUGUAUGUUAAAUUUUUAAGAUAGAGGUUUCGGUGGCCCGUAUAGCUGGCGUUAAUAUUCCUACG